RNAcentral lists this long non-coding RNA (189 nucleotides) under Mustela putorius furo (domestic ferret). RNAcentral's name for it is "lncRNA (ENSMPUG00000025632.1)". The record is from RNAcentral. Lineage: Eukaryota; Metazoa; Chordata; Mammalia; Carnivora; Mustelidae.
CGGCUCUGGGAACUAUAGCACAGUAUCAAACCCAGGACCUGACGUUGCUCCUGGAACAUGAACAGAUUCCACUCUGUGGCAGCUUUACCACUAUUGUUUUUGCACUUUGUGUAAAACAUAGGAGCUCUCUAAAGGUAAUACAGCCCUAUUUAAGAGAGAGACCCAAAAAACUCCUUGACAAAAGCAAUG